RNAcentral lists this ribosomal RNA (492 nucleotides) under uncultured bacterium. Its description in RNAcentral is "partial 16S ribosomal RNA". It matches the Rfam family "Bacterial small subunit ribosomal RNA", at positions 29 to 507 of the family's 1533-position model. The record is from RNAcentral.
AGUGAACGCUGGCGGUAGGCCUAACACAUGCAAGUCGAACGGCAGCACAGUAAGAGCUUGCUCUUACGGGUGGCGAGUGGCGGACGGGUGAGGAAUACAUCGGAAUCUACUUUUUCGUGGGGGAUAACGUAGGGAAACUUACGCUAAUACCGCAUACGACCUACGGGUGAAAGCAGGGGAUCUUCGGACCUUGCGCGAUUGAAUGAGCCGAUGUCGGAUUAGCUAGUUGGCGGGGUAAAGGCCCACCAAGGCGACGAUCCGUAGCUGGUCUGAGAGGAUGAUCAGCCACACUGGAACUGAGACACGGUCCAGACUCCUACGGGAGGCAGCAGUGGGGAAUAUUGGAGAAUGGAGGCAAGCCUGAUACAGGCAUACCGCGUGGGUGAAGAAGGCCUUCGGGUUGUAAAGCCCUUUUGUUGGGAGAGAAAAGCAGCAGGUUAAUACCCCGCUGUUCUGACGGUACCCAAAGAAUAAGCACCGGCUAACUUCGUG